UGGGGAAUUUUGGACAAUGGGGGCAACCCUGAUCCAGCCAUGCCGCGUGAGUGAAGAAGGCCUUCGGGUUGUAAAGCUCUUUCGGCCGGGAAGAAAUCGCACAGGCUAAUACCCUGUGUGGAUGACGGUACCGGAAUAAGAAGCACCGGCUAACUACGUGCCAGCAGCCGCGGUAAGACGUAGGGUGCGAGCGUUACUCGGAAUUACUGGGCGUAAAGCGUGCGCAGGCGGUUUUUUAAGACAGGCGUGAAAUCCCCGGGCUCAACCUGGGAACUGCGCUUGUGACUGGAAGGCUAGAGUAUGGCAGAGGGGGGUGGAAUUCCACGUGUAGCAGUGAAAUGCGUAGAGAUGUGGAGGAACACCGAUGGCGAAGGCAGCCCCCUGGGCCAAUACUGACGCUCAUGCGCGAAAGCGUGGGUAGCAAACA
This 427-nucleotide ribosomal RNA is filed under the name uncultured prokaryote. RNAcentral describes it as "bacterial SSU rRNA". It matches the Rfam family "Bacterial small subunit ribosomal RNA", at positions 355 to 774 of the family's 1533-position model. The record is from RNAcentral.